UACGUAGGGGGCAAGCGUUGUCCGGAUUUAUUGGGCGUAAAGAGCGUGUAGGCGGCCAGGUAGGUCCGUUGUGAAAACUCGAGGCUCAACCUCGAGACGUCGGCGGAAACCCUCUGGCUAGAGUCCGGAAGAGGAGAGUGGAAUUCCUGGUGUAGCGGUGAAAUGCGCGGAUAUCAGGAAGAACACCCGUGGCGAAGGCGGCUCUCUGGGACGGUACUGACGCUGAGACGCGAAAGCGUGGGGAGCAAACAGG
RNAcentral lists this ribosomal RNA (253 nucleotides) under uncultured bacterium. RNAcentral describes it as "partial 16S ribosomal RNA". It matches the Rfam family "Bacterial small subunit ribosomal RNA", at positions 524 to 776 of the family's 1533-position model. The record is from RNAcentral.